RNAcentral lists this ribosomal RNA (561 nucleotides) under Pristiophorus cirratus (longnose sawshark). Its description in RNAcentral is "partial 16S ribosomal RNA". It matches the Rfam family "Bacterial large subunit ribosomal RNA", at positions 1853 to 2607 of the family's 2925-position model. Lineage: Eukaryota; Metazoa; Chordata; Chondrichthyes; Pristiophoridae. The record is from RNAcentral.
GUCCGCCUGCCCUGUGACAAUGUUUAACGGCCGCGGUAUUUUGACCGUGCGAAGGUAGCGUAAUCACUUGUCUUUUAAAUGAAGACCUGUAUGAAAGGCAUCACGAGAGUUUAACUGUCUCUAUUUUCUAAUCAAUGAAAUUGAUCUUCUCGUGCAGAAGCGAGAAUACCACCAUAAGACGAGAAGACCCUAUGGAGCUUUAAACACUUAAAUCAAUUAUGUACAUCUAAACACCAAAAGGUACAACUACUUAUACAAUACUCCUGAUUCAACUGUUUUUGGUUGGGGUGACCAAGGGGAAAAGAAAAUCCCCCUUAUCGACUGAGUACUCAGUACUUAAAAACUAGAGCAACAACUCUAAUUGAUAGAACAUCUAUCGAAAAAUGACCCAGAAUAUUCUGAUCAAUGAACCAAGUUACCCUAGGGAUAACAGCGCAAUCCUUUCCCAGAGUCCCUAUCGCCGAAAGGGUUUACGACCUCGAUGUUGGAUCAGGACAUCCUAAUGGUGCAACCGCUAUUAAGGGUUCGUUUGUUCAACGAUUAAUAGUCCUACGUGAUCUG